Non-coding RNA from Rattus norvegicus (Norway rat), 564 nucleotides. Lineage: Eukaryota; Metazoa; Chordata; Mammalia; Rodentia; Muridae. The record is from RefSeq and is a predicted model, not a curated record.
GCUAUGCAACAAUGAUAUGCAAAUAAGAUGUGCAUAUUAGAAUAGAGUAGGAAGGAAAAUAUCAAAGUGGUAACAAGCUUGUUAAGGUAGUGUGGCGAGCUAAAUAAUUACCUCCCCGAUGCCUACUUCCUAACCGCCAGCCUAUGAAUAGUGCUCUGUGUGGCAAGGAUAACCUUUUUUUUUUUCUGCAAUGCACAGAACUGAAAUCAGUGCCUCAAGCAUAGGAAGCUAUCUUAGCUCUAACGAGCUACACCCACGGCCCCAGUAUCAAACACCGCAAAGACCUACGCCCGAUAUUCACACACUGGCGGUGCAGGCAGCGUCAUUUGGAGGCCCCACAGAGAUCAGGGAAGAGAGGACAACCUGACAGGAUCAUUCCAAAACGCCGGCCGGCAAGGAAGCGGGACGUAUUAGGGACAAGCAGCAACCACUUGACAAAUCUAGAAGUCCUGAGUUCCAAUUCCACACGGUGGCUCACAACCAUCUGUAAUGGGAUCUGAUGCCCUCUUCUGGUGAGUCUGAAGAUAGCUACAGUGAACUCAUAUACAUAAAAUAAAUAAGUCU